UGUUUAGUCAUCAUGUCUCCUUAGGCCCUUCUUGAUUAUGACAGUUUCUCAGAUUUUCCUUGUUUUUUUAUUUUUUAUUUUUUUUGAGGAAGAUUAGCCCUGAGCUAACAUCCACUGCCAAUCAUCCACUUUUUGCUGAGGAAGACUGGCCUUGAGCCAACAUCUGUUCCCAUCUUCCUCUACUUUAUAUGUAGGAUGCCUGCCACAGCAUGGCUUGCCAUGUGGUGCAUACGUCCGCACCUGGGAUCCAAACAGGUGAAGCCCGGGCUGCUGAAGCAGACAGAAUGUGUGAACUUAACCACUGCACUACCAGGGAGCCUCAAAACCUCUCCAGAUGGAAUGUAACACCCAGUAUAUCUUGGAAACAGAAUUUGUAUUGGGGCACCAUCUCUGAAGCAAGAAAGAGAACACACCAUCCUCACUGAAGCAUGCCAAUUCCAAGGCUGAUUCUCAUUCCAAAUUGAGUUGUUUUGCCUUUCUUAGCUUUCCUUUGAAUCUGUUUCCAAGCUAUAAUCUGUAGACAACUGUUCGCCCAUGUACCUGUGGUUAGGGCAUUGUGCGACAGCUUUGCCUUUAUUCCACAUUAAACGUAAAAAUUACUUUAAUGCAGCAUGGAAGUAAAAAUGCUGUAGGCACUCCAGAAAAUAAAAGCCAGAAAUUUCUAACAUAAUGGUCCCGCAGAAGAAAAAUCUCAGCUUCAUUGUAUAUCCUAUGCAUAUCAAAAU
RNAcentral lists this long non-coding RNA (725 nucleotides) under Equus caballus (horse). RNAcentral describes it as "lncRNA (ENSECAG00000054674.1)". The record is from RNAcentral. Lineage: Eukaryota; Metazoa; Chordata; Mammalia; Perissodactyla; Equidae.